CAAUAGCGUAUAUUAAAGUUGUUGCGGUUAAAAAGCUCGUAGUUGGAUUUCUGCUGAGAACGACCGGUCCGCCCUCUGGGUGUGUAUCUGGCUCUUUCUUGGCAUCUUCUUGGUGAACGUUGCUGCACUUGACUGUGUGGAGCGCUACCCAGGACUUUUACUUUGAGGAAAUUAGAGUGUUUCAAGCAGGCAUACGCCUUGAAUACAUUAGCAUGGAAUAAUAAGAUAGGACCUCGGUUCUAUUUUGUUGGUUUCUAGAGCUGAGGUAAUGAUUAAUAGGGAUAGUUGGGGGCAUUCGUAUUUAACUGUCAGAGGUGAAAUUCUUGGAUUUGUUAAAGACGAACUACUGCGAAAGCAUUUGCCAAGGAUGUUUNCAUUGA
Molecule: ribosomal RNA, 380 nt
Filed under: uncultured eukaryote
Lineage: Eukaryota
Description: partial 18S ribosomal RNA
Rfam family: Eukaryotic small subunit ribosomal RNA
Source: RNAcentral